UUGAACUACCUCCCUUUUAAAUACCUUGAUUCGAUCCUUGAUUGAUAAGAAUUAUUAAAAUAAAUCAAGUUAACCUUGAUAAUAACCGAACAUGGGUGAAGAAUACUUUUGACAGGACGCAUACUUUUGAUCCGCUUGAAAAACUGCUACUCCGUGACUGUCCAAUGGCAUUAGUUUGUGGGUGAAGUUUUUUAAAUCUGCCAUAUUCAUAGUUGCAGCGAUUUAAGUGUUCAAAACUAUCAAACUGAAGCCUAUGAAGCUUAACAUUCGGACUGGCAGUACAGUUGGAAUCCCCUAUUAUAUUAAGAAUAUACUCGAAG
This is a long non-coding RNA of Aedes aegypti (yellow fever mosquito), 320 nucleotides long. RefSeq lists it as uncharacterized. The transcript is spliced from 3 exons. NCBI's taxonomy places the organism in Eukaryota, Metazoa, Arthropoda, Insecta, Diptera, Culicidae. The record is from RefSeq and is a predicted model, not a curated record.